RNAcentral lists this ribosomal RNA (431 nucleotides) under uncultured bacterium. Its description in RNAcentral is "partial 16S ribosomal RNA". It matches the Rfam family "Bacterial small subunit ribosomal RNA", at positions 338 to 795 of the family's 1533-position model. The record is from RNAcentral.
CCUACGGGAGGCAGCAGUGGGGAAUAUUGCACAAUGGGCGGAAGCCUGAUGCAGCGACGCCGCGUGAGGGAUGACGGCCUUCGGGUUGUAAACCUCUUUCAGCUCCGACGCGGUAGGGGCAGAAGAAGCGCCGGCCAACUACGUGCCAGCAGCCGCGGUAAGACGUAGGGCGCGAGCGUUGUCCGGAUUUAUUGGGCGUAAAGAGCUCGUAGGCGGCUUGUCGCGUCGACUGUGAAAACCCGUGGCUCAACCAUUGGUCUGCAGUCGAUACGGGCAGGCUAGAAUUCGGUAGGGGAGACUGGAAUUCCUGGUGUAGCGGUGAAAUGCGCAGAUAUCAGGAGGAACACCGGUGGCGAAGGCGGGUCUCUGGGCCGUUUGACGCUGAGGAGCGAAAGCGUGGGGAGCGAACAGGAUUAGAUACCCUUGUAGUC